RNAcentral lists this ribosomal RNA (460 nucleotides) under uncultured bacterium. RNAcentral describes it as "partial 16S ribosomal RNA". It matches the Rfam family "Bacterial small subunit ribosomal RNA", at positions 338 to 795 of the family's 1533-position model. The record is from RNAcentral.
CCUACGGGUGGCAGCAGUGAGGAAUAUUGGUCAAUGGACGAGAGUCUGAACCAGCCAAGUAGCGUGAAGGAUGACUGCCCUAUGGGUUGUAAACUUCUUUUAUAUGGGAAUAAAAUGUUCCACGUGUGGGAUUUUGUCUGUACCAUAUGAAUAAGGAUCGGCUAACUCCGUGCCAGCAGCCGCGGUAAUACGGAGGAUCCGAGCGUUAUCCGGAUUUAUUGGGUUUAAAGGGAGCGUAGGUGGAUUGUUAAGUCAGUUGUGAAAGUUUGCGGCUCAACCAUAAAAUUGCAGUUGAAACUGGCAGUCUUGAGUACAGUAGAGGUGGGCGGAAUGCGUGGUGUAGCGGUGAAAUGCUUAGAUAUCACGAAGAACUCCGAUUGCGAAGGCAGUUCACUGGACUGCAACUGACACUGAGGCUCGAAAGUGUGGGUAUCAAACAGGAUUAGAUACCCCGGUAGUC